CACGACAGACGUGAGGGAUGUACUAAUCUAAUUUAAAGGCUAGAAAGAGACAGAUGUUUUCGUCGGACCGCUUAUCAUUCUUGGCCGUCAGUUGGCGACAUUACUGCGCAGAAUCUUGGGGUCGGUGGUAGGGAUUAGUUUCUCGCGAGACGUGCAGCGUGAUGGACGUAUAAGACGCUCGUGUCUAACGGAAAGGAUAGAAAGAGAGAUAUCAGGUCUCGUUAGGCGAGGUGCUUGGCCACGAAGUUAGGUUUCGCCGCUAGAUGGUGACACCAUGCAGAUUCUUGCGGUCAGCGGUCUAGCCGCUAGACUCUAGCGGUCGGUGGCGAUUAGUCUUGCGCGCGACAUGUGGCGUGAUGGAUGUGUGGAGAUGCGCGAGUUUAAUGGAAGCGCAGAUAUUUUAAUCGAAACGAUCUUGUAGAAAAUUCUAUUUUUUUUAUUCGCGUUUUCUGUUAAAGAUUUGACAAAGGAUGAGAAUUGGAAGAAUGGGGAACGAACUCUCUCUCCAACCUGGGAAAUGGCUGCGACGCUACGAGAAGGAAUUAACAAUAUAAUAGACGCAAUUACGCUAGAAAUGCUGUUUCAGAAUACGUCGCUAAAUUAGAUUAAAUUGUGAUGAGAUUUCAAAUACGCACCAUGGUGAUGACGGUCUUGAUGGCUUCCGCCGUGGCCUCUUCACUCGAGGGUGUCUCGACGAGGGUGCUGCCCAAAUAUUUGAGGGUGAACCUAGCCUCGGACGUGUCCUCGGAUUCCUCCCCGUGGGUUGUCCCAGCCGAACCACCCUCUACGCACUCGCGGCUGUUCGCCAACGCCCAUUCCUCGCAUAAUUCUGGAAAUCAACAUCGAGCAAAAUAUUGAGCUUAAUAGAAAAUAAAGAAAUUUGUGGGCAAAAAUUUGGAAACUGCUGCUCUCGUCACGGACACACGAAUCCGGCAGAGAUAAAUGUUACGGUGGAUGGAAAGGGGGAUGACCGAUGUAACAUUAGUCCAGGUUCGUGCAACCACAUAAGCCAACCUCGUUGUCUGUCCACUUCGUGACAGGAAUAGCCGCACGUGUGUUACAAUAAUGGAUGCUCCGGGUGUAUACAUCGUUCUCCAGUCCAAAACUUGUCGAAUAGUUGCAAUUCCGUCGAGAGAAAUUGCGAUGCAAAAAUGUUGAACUGACAUUUUAUAAAAUUUAACUCGAUAAUCAAGUAAAAAUGUUUUAAAAUGUACAGGGAAUUUUCAUAUACAUAUAUACAGAAAAUUAUUUGAUUUCGGAGCAAAGUUGAUAGGAAUCGAAUUUAUCACUCUCGAUAAAAAGUUAUAAUUAUCAAAAAUGAAACAAAGUACAAUUCCCAUAUCGACAAAACUUAUAAGAAUUAUAAAAUAAGAAACAAAGUACAACUUGUUCUAUUGCGCGAUAAAAGAAAAAAGUUUAAAGUU
This is a long non-coding RNA of Nylanderia fulva, 1424 nucleotides long. RefSeq lists it as uncharacterized. NCBI's taxonomy places the organism in Eukaryota, Metazoa, Arthropoda, Insecta, Hymenoptera, Formicidae. The record is from RefSeq and is a predicted model, not a curated record.